GGACUGAGAGACCUCAGACCAACAGAAGAUGGCUGUAUGGUUCCUAUUUGGGCCCCUCAGUGUGGCCCUGCAUCAGCCUCUUCUCUUUCUUUCCCCUCAGGAUCCCCAGCUGUGAAAGAUGCAAAUGGGAGCUGAACCCACACUGGGCAAGAGCCUGAUACCUGACCGCUUCCAACUCUGGAAACAAUUGGCAUCAUUGUAAUCCCAGAUUAUUCCUAAUUAUUCCUAACCUGCCCAGUGGAUCUGAACUCUGACUGCUGUGACCGUCUGUGACCCUGCCCAAGGAUUCGUCUGCCUCAGCUUCCCAAGGCUCAGAAGACCCACAGGAAGAAGAUGGUUGCUCUCUAGCCCUUUUCCAAGAAGCAGGAAACCUCUGCAUUCCUGGGACUCACGACUCUGUCUGGCAGAAGGCAGUGGGUGGCCAGACCUAAAGCAUCCAUCCUGCCUGCCCUUGGACACUGCAGGACAUGAAGCCACAUGAGACUCACCACUGCUGACCCCACAGGGAGACAGAGAGCUGGGGCAGGACAAUGCCCGAGGUGACCCCUACCCCACCUAAGGGGGCUGCGUGAAAGAACAAUGGGGAGGUGGACUCUAGGGGAAGGCACUUGUCCUCUGCGGCCCUUUUGACUUCCAGCACGCUUCUUUCAUACCCUACCCUCAGCUGUUAUUACAAAACACAUGAGCUUAGGGAGAAAGUCUUCACUAGAAUGCCAGCCUAAACCAACCCAAUCAGGCAGGUAAAACUUCUGGAAAAAAUAACAGUAGUGAUGUUUGGAUUCCAAGCGCUGUUUCUACCCCUCCCUACCUGGUAGGAUACAUGGAGAAAUGCAGAGCUCAGCUAAAACCAAGGUAGCAGGGUUGCCCACUUCAAAGUCAGCAUACCCCAGUAGGAGAGCCUGGGGUGAAAGGCUGCAGGCGGAUGGGCAUCCAGCUCCGAUAAGGCAGAGGAAGGGUAGGACUGUGUCUGGGGCCUGCUGACUGUUCCCUCACCCCAGAGGCCACAGGGAUAAUCUGCUCACAGAGCCCUCUGGCCUCAGACAUUUAGUUUCCACCCUAAGCCCCUCGGGUAGAGGACAAGGAGCCAGGCGCCAGCCUCAUCCAGAGCCAAGCAUGUGGCCAGGGGCCAGCGUAGGCCAACACCCUGAUGUCCGCAGCUCCAGCUGUUGCCCCUCUGCAGAGCUUUCACCGGAGGCAGCCCCUUCCACGCCAUCA
This 1215-nucleotide long non-coding RNA is filed under the name Heterocephalus glaber (naked mole-rat). Its description in RNAcentral is "lncRNA (ENSHGLG00000039394.1)". Lineage: Eukaryota; Metazoa; Chordata; Mammalia; Rodentia; Bathyergidae. The record is from RNAcentral.